Molecule: ribosomal RNA, 468 nt
Filed under: uncultured bacterium
Lineage: Bacteria
Description: partial 16S ribosomal RNA
Rfam family: Bacterial small subunit ribosomal RNA
Source: RNAcentral
GAUGAACGCUGGCGGCGUGCCUAACACAUGCAAGUCGAGCGAUUCUCUUCGGAGAAGAGCGGCGGACGGGUGAGUAACGCGUGGGUAACCUGCCCUGUACACACGGAUAACAUACCGAAAGGUAUGCUAAUACGAGAUAAUAUGCUUUUGUCGCAUGGCAGAAGUAUCAAAGCUCCGGCGGUAUAGGAUGGACCCGCGUCUGAUUAGCUAGUUGGUAAGGUAACGGCUUACCAAGGCGACGAUCAGUAGCCGCCCUGAGAGGGGGAUCGGCCACAUUGGAACUGAGACACGGUCCAAACUCCUACGGGAGGCAGCAGUGGGGAAUAUUGCACAAUGGGCGAAAGCCUGAUGCAGCAACGCCGCGUGAGCGAUGAAGGCCUUCGGGUCGUAAAGCUCUGUCCUCAAGGAAGAUAAUGACGGUACUUGAGGAGGAAGCCCCGGCUAACUACGUGCCAGCCGCCGCAGUAA